GACAGAGGUGCCGAGCGUUAGGCGGAAUCACUGGGCUUAAAGCGUGUGUAGGCGGACGCCUAAGUGUCUUGUGAAAUCCCACGGCUCACCCGUGGAACUGCUGGGCAUACUGGGCGUCUUGGGCCAGCUAGGGGCAGCCGGAACAAGCGGUGGAGCGGUGAAAUGCGUAGAUAUCGCUUGGAACGCCGAAGGUGAAAACAGGCUGCUGGGGUUGCGCCGACGCUGAGACACGAAAGCCAGGGGAGCAAACGGG
This 253-nucleotide ribosomal RNA is filed under the name uncultured bacterium. RNAcentral's name for it is "partial 16S ribosomal RNA". It matches the Rfam family "Bacterial small subunit ribosomal RNA", at positions 524 to 776 of the family's 1533-position model. The record is from RNAcentral.